UCUUUGAUGGUCUAACGGUCAUGAUUUCCGCUUGUCAUUCGACAAGAUCGCGGGAGAUCGGUUUCGACUCCCCGUCAGAGAG
RNAcentral lists this transfer RNA (82 nucleotides) under Hyaloscypha hepaticicola. RNAcentral's name for it is "tRNA-Asp". The record is from RNAcentral. Lineage: Eukaryota; Fungi; Ascomycota; Leotiomycetes; Helotiales; Hyaloscyphaceae.